RNAcentral lists this ribosomal RNA (382 nucleotides) under uncultured eukaryote. RNAcentral describes it as "partial 18S ribosomal RNA". It matches the Rfam family "Eukaryotic small subunit ribosomal RNA", at positions 592 to 976 of the family's 1831-position model. The record is from RNAcentral.
UGUAAGCGUAUACCAAAGUUGUUGCAGUUAAAACGCUCGUAGUCGGAAUUUGGCAGUUCCGGAUGUGUGCACGUCGUGUGCGCACUUCGCGGGGAUUGCUUUUGUGGUCUUGCGUAGGAUGAGGCACUUUUAUUAGUGAACGUCCUCACGCAACCACUUUUUACUGUGAGAAAAUCGGAGUGCUCAAAGCUGGCAUUUGCCGUGAAUGUAUUAGCAUGGAAUAAUAGAAUAGGACUUGGUUCUAUUUUGUUGGUUUGUUGGGACUGAGUAAUGAUUAAGAGGGACAGUUGGGGGCAUUUGUAUUUCGGUGCUAGAGGUGAAAUUCUUAGAUUACCGAAAGACAAACUGCUGCGAAAGCGUCUGCCAAGGAUGUUUUCAUUGA